This 202-nucleotide unclassified non-coding RNA is filed under the name fungal sp. RNAcentral describes it as "partial internal transcribed spacer region". The stretch from base 1 to 46 matches the Rfam family "Eukaryotic small subunit ribosomal RNA", at positions 1786 to 1831 of the family's 1831-position model. The record is from RNAcentral. Lineage: Eukaryota; Fungi.
AAGUCGUAACAAGGUUUCCGUAGGUGAACCUGCGGAAGGAUCAUUAACAAAUCGUAUUUGUAUUUGAUAGUAUAUAUCAGUACAAAACAUAUGUGCGCCAGCAUGCGUGCUGGAAUGCAAUAUUCAUGUGUAAGUGUAUGUGUGUGUGUAGUGUAACUAAAAAUAUCUAAACAUACUUUUAACAAUGGAUCUCUUGGCUCUU